CCCUUAGCCACGGCCACUACAUCACUUCUCUCUCUGAGGUAAUAUUCUUUUCCUCACCACCUCCGUCGUCGAUUAUCUCCUCUUCUUCCGGUCAUUUGACGUUGCAUGCUGUCCUUGAGUGAGCUAAAUAUUUGAUCGACCCAUGGCUUCUUUUGUCAAGCCAGAGAAUGCUUUAAAACGAGCUGAAGAGCUGAUAAAUGUUGGCCAGAAGCAGGAUGCCUUGCAAGCUCUUCAUGAUCUUAUAACUUCAAAGAAAUAUAGAGCAUGGCAGAAACCUCUUGAAAGGAUUAUGUUUAAGUAUGUUGAGCUUUGUGUGGACAUGAGGAAAGGAAGGUUUGCAAAGGAUGGUUUGAUUCAGUACCGUAUUGUUUGCCAGCAAGUCAAUGUUACUUCUUUAGAGGAAGUAAUCAAGCACUUUAUGCAUCUUUCCACUGAGAAGGCAGAGCAGGCUCGUAGUCAAGCUCAAGCAUUAGAAGAAGCUCUUGAUGUUGAUGACUUGGAAGCCGAUAAAAGGCCAGAAGAUCUGAUGCUUAGUUAUGUCAGUGGGGAGAAAGGAAAGGACAGAUCUGACCGCGAACUUGUUACCCCUUGGUUUAAAUUUCUAUGGGAGACAUAUCGAACAGUUCUUGAGAUACUAAGGAAUAACUCAAAGUUGGAAGCACUUUAUGCGAUGACAGCUCAUCGUGCCUUCCAGUUUUGUAAGCUGUACAAAAGAACAACAGAAUUUCGCAGAUUAUGUGAAAUUAUCAGAAAUCAUCUUGCUAACCUCAACAAGUAUAGAGACCAAAGAGAUCGGCCUGACCUAUCUGCUCCAGAGAGCUUGCAGUUGUACCUUGACACAAGAUUUGAACAGCUGAAGGUUGCCACGGAGCUUGAACUCUGGCAGGAAGCUUUUCGUUCUGUGGAAGAUAUUCAUGGUUUGAUGUGUAUGGUGAAGAAAACACCCAAGCCAUCGUUGAUGGUGGUUUACUACGUCAAAUUAACAGAGAUCUUCUGGAUAUCGGAUAGUAAUCUUUAUCAUGCCUAUGCAUGGCUUAAACUUUUCUCCCUUCAGAAGAGUUUCAACAAAAAUCUAAGCCAGAAGGACCUACAGCUGAUAGCAUCAUCUGUUGUGUUAGCAGCUCUUGCAGUGCCCCCCUAUGACUCCAAGCAUGGUGCAUCACAUUUAGAACUGGAACAUGAGAAAGAGCGCAGUUUGAGGAUGGCUAAUCUCAUAGGGUUCAGUUUAGACUCCAAACUUGAAAGUAGAGAUGUGCUUUCGAGGGAAAAUCUUCUCUCUGAACUGGUGUCUAAAGGAGUCCUGAGCUGUGCAACUCAGGAAAUUAAAGAUCUUUAUCAUCUUUUGGAGCAUGAGUUCUUCCCUCUCGAUCUUGCAUUAAAAUUGCAACCGUUGUUCACAAAAAUAUCUAAGCUUGGAGGUAAGCUUUCAUCAGCCUCAUCUGUACCCGAAUUGCAAUUGUCUCAAUAUGUUCCAGCUCUUGAAAAACUUGCUACCCUGAGGCUACUUCAGCAGGUCUCCCAUGUGUACCAGACUAUGAAAAUUGAGAGUCUGUCGCAGAUGAUCCCAUUUUUUGAUUUUUCUGCCGUGGAGAAAAUAUUAGUUGACGCAGUUAAACAAAAUUUCAUCGCCAUGAAAGUCGAUCAUUCAAGGAACAUUGUCUUAUUUGGAAAUUUGGGUAUUGAAUCAGAAGGGCUUCGGGACCACCUGACUGUGCUUGCUGAGUCCCUAAACAAAGUAAGAGCCAUGAUCUACCCUCCUGUAAAGAAAAGAUCAAAAACAGGUGAAAUAUUGCCUGAUUUAGCAGAUAUUGUUGAUAAAGAGCACAAGAGGCUUCUUGCUCGGAAAUCAAUAAUUGAGAAAAGGAAGGAAGAGCAGGAACGGCAACUUUUGGAAAUGGAACGUGAGGAGGAAUCAAGAAGGUUAAAAUUACUAAAGAUAACUGAAGAGGCUGAGCAGAAGCGUCUUGCUGCAGAAUAUGAACAAAGGAAAAGUCAACGGCUUCGUAGGGAAAUGGAAGAGCGAGAACUUGAAGAAGCACAGGCAUUACUCCAGGAAGCUGAAAAGCGUGUUGGUAAAAAGAAGGGAAGCAGGAAGCCGGUUCUUGAUUCCGAAAAGUUGACUAAACAAACCUUAAUGCAAUUGGCCCUUACUGAACAAUUAAGGGAGAGGCAGGAAAUGGAAAAGAAAUUGCAGAAGCUUUCCAAAACUAUGGAUUAUCUAGAAAGAGCAAAAAGAGAAGAGGCAGCAACGUUAAUCGAAGCUGCAUUUCAGCAACGUUUGCUUGAAGAGAGGAUGAUUCAUGAACGUGAUCAGCAGCUGGAGGUCGAGUUAAGCAAGCAGCGCCAUGAAGGUGACCUGAAGGAGAAGAAUAGAUUGGCAAGAAUGUUGGAGAGCAAGAAAAUUUUCCAAGAAAGAGUUCUCAGUCUUCGCCAAGAGGAGUUCAACAAACGUAGAGCUGAGAGAGAAGAACAGAUCAGGCAAAUAAUUCAGUCUCGUAAAGCAGAAAGGGAGGCUAAGAGAAAGAAAAUCUUUUAUGUGAGGCGUGAAGAGGAGAGAAUCAGAAUAUUGCGUGAAGAGGAGGAAGCACGCAAGCGUGAAGAAGCCGAAAGGAGGAAAAGGGAGGAAGCUGAACGCAAGGCAAAAUUGGAUGAGAUUGCUGAGAAACAGAGGCAGAGAGAGCGCGAAUUGGAAGAAAAAGAAAGACUGCGGAAAGAAAUGCUCUUUGGUGGAGGCAAAUCAGGUGAUGCUUCUGCUAGGCCCGAUGUUUCUCCUGCUUCUCGACCUCAGGAGUCUAGGACUGCUCCUGCUGCUGCAGCUGCUGCGGCUGCAGCCCCGGCCGCAGGAAAAUAUGUGCCAAGGUUCCUACGUGAACGGACUGAGAGCUCCAGCCCUAAUGCACCACCUCCUGAAUCUGAUCGAUGGGGAAGCAGCAGGCCUGACAAUCGACCAUCUCAGCCAGGUAGCUGGCGCAAUGAUGAUCGUAGACCUGCUGCAUUUGGAAGUUCAAGGUCGUCGUGGUCGUCGUCUCGAGUUCCUUCUCGUGGUGGCUCGGAGCGCUGAUUGUGGUGGCAGUCUGGCAAACCGAAGGAAGAACAAUUUUGAGUUUGAUCGGAUGCUAAAUCAUUUCUCGGAAAAAGAAAAAAAAGAUGAGUUUUUGGUCCUAUUGAGAAAGCAAGGAGGAAGAGGAAGAGGGAAGAAGCAGGAGGGAAAAGGGUGUAAUAAUAUUUGUAGUUGUGUGUUCUAAUGUUUACGUGGCAGAAAAUUUAUUGUUGGAAGAGUUAUAUGAAGUACUUGAGGCGUUGGGCGUUGGAAGUUGUGUUGAAUAGCAUUUUUAUGGAGUCUAUUUAAAUCAAUUGCCCCCUUUUUGAGUUGAAACCA
Molecule: RNA transcript, 3379 nt
Organism: Cucurbita moschata (crookneck pumpkin)
Lineage: Eukaryota; Viridiplantae; Streptophyta; Magnoliopsida; Cucurbitales; Cucurbitaceae
Gene name: eukaryotic translation initiation factor 3 subunit A-like
Exons: 15
Source: RefSeq, a predicted model, not a curated record